Non-coding RNA from Pelobates cultripes (western spadefoot toad), 164 nucleotides. The record is from the annotation of a GenBank genome assembly. Lineage: Eukaryota; Metazoa; Chordata; Amphibia; Anura; Pelobatidae.
AAGCAAUCAAAUAUAUCAGGCCUGUCCAACCUGCGGCCCCUCAGAUGUUGCUGCACUACAACUCCCAUGAUUAUUUCAAUUAAACAGAUAGCCAGGGAAUCAUGUGAGUUUUACUGCAGCAACAUCUGGGGGGCCGCAGGUUGGACAGCCCUGAAAUAUAUACA